RNAcentral lists this transfer RNA (85 nucleotides) under Pirellulaceae bacterium. RNAcentral's name for it is "tRNA-Leu". It matches the Rfam family "tRNA". From Rfam's summary of the family: Transfer RNA (tRNA) molecules are approximately 80 nucleotides in length. Their secondary structure includes four short double-helical elements and three loops (D, anti-codon, and T loops). Lineage: Bacteria; Pseudomonadati; Planctomycetota; Planctomycetia; Pirellulales; Pirellulaceae. The record is from RNAcentral.
GGCCGAGUGGCGGAAUGGCAGACGCACAGGACUUAAAAUCCUGUGGCCCGUUAGGGCCGUGCGGGUUCGAAUCCCGCCUCGGCUA